RNAcentral lists this ribosomal RNA (549 nucleotides) under uncultured bacterium. RNAcentral describes it as "bacterial SSU rRNA". It matches the Rfam family "Bacterial small subunit ribosomal RNA", at positions 355 to 896 of the family's 1533-position model. The record is from RNAcentral.
UGGGGAAUAUUGGACAAUGGGCGAAAGCCUGAUCCAGCCAUGCCGCGUGUGUGAAGAAGGCCUUUUGGUUGUAAAGCACUUUAAGUGGGGAGGAAAAGCUUAUGGUUAAUACCCAUAAGCCCUGGCGUUACCCACAGAAUAAGCACCGGCUAACUCUGUGCCAGCAGCCGCGGUAAUACAGAGGGUGCAAGCGUUAAUCGGAAUUACUGGGCGUAAAGCGCGCGUAGGUGGUUAUUUAAGUCAGAUGUGAAAGCCCCGGGCUUAACCUGGGAACUGCAUCUGAUACUGGAUAACUAGAGUAGGUGAGAGGGGAGUAGAAUUCCAGGUGUAGCGGUGAAAUGCGUAGAGAUCUGGAGGAAUACCGAUGGCGAAGGCAGCUCCCUGGCAUCAUACUGACACUGAGGUGCGAAAGCGUGGGUAGCAAACAGGAUUAGAUACCCUGGUAGUCCACGCCGUAAACGAUGUCUACCAGUCGUUGGGUCUUUUAAAGACUUAGUGACGCAGUUAACGCAAUAAGUAGACCGCCUGGGGAGUACGGCCGCAAGGUUA